GUCAGCCGCCGCGGUAACACCGGCGGCCCGAGUGGUGAUCGUGAUUAUUGGGUCUAAAGGGUCCGUAGCCGGUUUGGUCAGUCCUCCGGGAAAUCUGAUAGCUCAACUAUUAGGCUUUCGGGGGAUACUGCCAGACUUGGAACCGGGAGAGGUAAGAGGUACUACAGGGGUAGGAGUGAAAUCUUGUAAUCCCUGUGGGACCACCUGUGGCGAAGGCGUCUUACCAGAACGGGUUCGACGGUGAGGGACGAAAGCUGGGGGCACGAACCGGAUUAGAUACCCGGGUAGUCCCAGCCGUAAACGAUGCUCGCUAGGUGUCAGGCAUGGCGCGACCGUGUCUGGUGCCGCAGGGAAGCCGUGAAGCGAGCCACCUGGGAAGUACGGCCGCAAGGCUGAAACUUAAAGGAAUUGGCGGGGGAGCACAACAACGGGUGGAGCCUGCGGUUUAAUUGGACUCAACGCCGGACAACUCACCGGGGGCGACAGCAAUAUGUAGGCCAAGCUGAAGACUUUGCCUGAAUCGCUGAGAAGAGGUGCAUGG
This 541-nucleotide ribosomal RNA is filed under the name uncultured archaeon. RNAcentral's name for it is "bacterial SSU rRNA". It matches the Rfam family "Archaeal small subunit ribosomal RNA", at positions 457 to 997 of the family's 1478-position model. The record is from RNAcentral.